RNAcentral lists this non-coding RNA (227 nucleotides) under Streptomyces rimosus. Lineage: Bacteria; Bacillati; Actinomycetota; Actinomycetes; Kitasatosporales; Streptomycetaceae. The record is from RNAcentral.
ACUGUGUCCGGUGCAGCUGGUUCGCCCUGCCCGCCAGGCAGACGCGUCGUAAGAGGGAACCCGGUGGGAAUCCGGGACUGCCCCGCAGCGGUGAGCGGGAACGACCGCCGUCAUACGCACUGGAUCCGGGCCGCGGAUCCGGGAAGCGACGGCCAGUAGGUGCCCGCCGGGAGAGCCCGGCAGGCGUGCCCGCGAGUCCGAAGACCUGCCCGUUGCCCGCGCGCGUC